RNAcentral lists this ribosomal RNA (1496 nucleotides) under Enterococcus faecium. RNAcentral's name for it is "bacterial SSU rRNA". It matches the Rfam family "Bacterial small subunit ribosomal RNA". The record is from RNAcentral. Lineage: Bacteria; Bacillati; Bacillota; Bacilli; Lactobacillales; Enterococcaceae.
AGCCGGGCGGGUGCUAUACAUGCAAGUCGUACGCUUCUUUUUCCACCGGAGCUUGCUCCACCGGAAAAAGAAGAGUGGCGAACGGGUGAGUAACACGUGGGUAACCUGCCCAUCAGAAGGGGAUAACACUUGGAAACAGGUGCUAAUACCGUAUAACAAUCGAAACCGCAUGGUUUUGAUUUGAAAGGCGCUUUCGGGUGUCGCUGAUGGAUGGACCCGCGGUGCAUUAGCUAGUUGGUGAGGUAACGGCUCACCAAGGCCACGAUGCAUAGCCGACCUGAGAGGGUGAUCGGCCACAUUGGGACUGAGACACGGCCCAAACUCCUACGGGAGGCAGCAGUAGGGAAUCUUCGGCAAUGGACGAAAGUCUGACCGAGCAACGCCGCGUGAGUGAAGAAGGUUUUCGGAUCGUAAAACUCUGUUGUUAGAGAAGAACAAGGAUGAGAGUAACUGUUCAUCCCUUGACGGUAUCUAACCAGAAAGCCACGGCUAACUACGUGCCAGCAGCCGCGGUAAUACGUAGGUGGCAAGCGUUGUCCGGAUUUAUUGGGCGUAAAGCGAGCGCAGGCGGUUUCUUAAGUCUGAUGUGAAAGCCCCCGGCUCAACCGGGGAGGGUCAUUGGAAACUGGGAGACUUGAGUGCAGAAGAGGAGAGUGGAAUUCCAUGUGUAGCGGUGAAAUGCGUAGAUAUAUGGAGGAACACCAGUGGCGAAGGCGGCUCUCUGGUCUGUAACUGACGCUGAGGCUCGAAAGCGUGGGGAGCAAACAGGAUUAGAUACCCUGGUAGUCCACGCCGUAAACGAUGAGUGCUAAGUGUUGGAGGGUUUCCGCCCUUCAGUGCUGCAGCUAACGCAUUAAGCACUCCGCCUGGGGAGUACGACCGCAAGGUUGAAACUCAAAGGAAUUGACGGGGGCCCGCACAAGCGGUGGAGCAUGUGGUUUAAUUCGAAGCAACGCGAAGAACCUUACCAGGUCUUGACAUCCUUUGACCACUCUAGAGAUAGAGCUUCCCCUUCGGGGGCAAAGUGACAGGUGGUGCAUGGUUGUCGUCAGCUCGUGUCGUGAGAUGUUGGGUUAAGUCCCGCAACGAGCGCAACCCUUAUUGUUAGUUGCCAUCAUUCAGUUGGGCACUCUAGCAAGACUGCCGGUGACAAACCGGAGGAAGGUGGGGAUGACGUCAAAUCAUCAUGCCCCUUAUGACCUGGGCUACACACGUGCUACAAUGGGAAGUACAACGAGUCGCGAAGUCGCGAGGCUAAGCUAAUCUCUUAAAGCUUCUCUCAGUUCGGAUUGUAGGCUGCAACUCGCCUACAUGAAGCCGGAAUCGCUAGUAAUCGCGGAUCAGCACGCCGCGGUGAAUACGUUCCCGGGCCUUGUACACACCGCCCGUCACACCACGAGAGUUUGUAACACCCGAAGUCGGUGAGGUAACCUUUUGGAGCCAGCCGCCUAAGGUGGGAUAGAUGAUUGGGGUGAAGUCGUAACAAGAGCCCUAGG